CGCGAGUCAUUGGGUUAGUACUAAAUCUAAAGGCGAAAUGAAAGUGAAGGUCUCGCCUCGUGCGGACCGAGGGUAGAUGGGGCGCGCUCACAAGGCGCGGCUCCCGCAUAUCCGGGGCGUCUCGUUCUCAUUGCGAGUUGAGGCGCACCCAGAGCGUACACGUUGGGACCCGAAAGAUGGUGAACUAUGCCUGGCCAGGACGAAGUCAGGGGAAACCCUGAUGGAGGUCCGUAGCGAUUCUGACGUGCAAAUCGAUCGUCGGAGCUGGGUAUAGGGGCGAAAGACUAAUCGAACCAUCUAGUAGCUGGUUCCCUCCGAAGUUUCCCUCAGGAUAGCUGGUGCUCGAACGAGUCUCAUCCGGUCAAGCGAAUGAUUAGAGGCCUUGGGGCCGAAACGACCUCAACCUAUUCUCAAACUUUAAAUGGGUGAGAUCUCCGGCUUGCUUAAAGCAUUGAAGCCGCGAGAUUGUAAAGAUUUGGAUCGGAGUGCCAAGUGGGCCACUUUUGGUAAGCAGAACUGGCGCUGUGGGAUGAACCAAACGUAGAGUUAAGGCGCCCGAAUAGACGCUCAUGGGAAACCAUGAAAGGCGUUGGUUGCUUAAGACAGCAGGACGGUGGCCAUGGAAGUCGGAAUCCGCUAAGGAGUGUGUAACAACUCACCUGCCGAAGCAACUAGCCCUGAAAAUGGAUGGCGCUGAAGCGUCUUGCCUAUACUCUGCCGUCAGUACGGCAAUGAGGGGUGCGCGGUUCCGCUUCGGCGGGCCCGCCCCGUGAGGCCCUGACGAGUAGGAGGGUCGCGGCGGUGAGCGCAGAAGGGUCUAGGCGUGAGCCUGCCUGGAGCCACCGUCGGUGCAGAUCUUGGUGGUAGUAGCAAAUACUCCAGCGAGGCCCUGGAGGACUGACGUGGAGAAGGGUUUCGUGUGAACAGCCGUUGCACACGAGUCAGUCGAUCCUAAGCCCUAGGAGAAAUCCGAUGUCGAUGGGGUCCGAGACUAAAUAAAAACAGAUAGGACCCCAUGGGGCGAAAGGGAAUCCGGUUCCUAUUCCGGAACCCGGCAGCGGAACCGUAAUAAGUCGGGCCCAUCGCAAGAGAAGCUCGUCGGGGUAACCCAAAAAGACCCGGAGACGCCGUCGGGAGAUCGGGGAAGAGUUUUCUUUUCUGCAUGAGCGUUCGAGUUCCCUGGAAUCCUCUAGCAGGGAGAUAGGGUUUGGAACGCGAAGAGCACCGCAGUUGCGGCGGUGUCCCGAUCUUCCCCUCGGACCUUG
RNAcentral lists this ribosomal RNA (1265 nucleotides) under Acauloplacella sp. OR652. RNAcentral describes it as "eukaryotic LSU rRNA". It matches the Rfam family "Eukaryotic large subunit ribosomal RNA", at positions 685 to 1807 of the family's 3401-position model. The record is from RNAcentral. Lineage: Eukaryota; Metazoa; Arthropoda; Insecta; Orthoptera; Tettigoniidae.